Long non-coding RNA from Oreochromis aureus, 602 nucleotides. The record is from Ensembl. Lineage: Eukaryota; Metazoa; Chordata; Actinopteri; Cichliformes; Cichlidae.
CGGAAGUGCUCCAGGACGCUAGGGGCAGUGUUGAGCUUUUGUUACCUAGUAACUACACAAGCCAUGAAGUACCAAUGACCGGAUUUGGGCUGUAGGCCGCAUUUUAAGGCCGAUUACAUCACAGCGACACGACGAAGGCUGUCCCAAUUCAAAGGCUGCUCCAAAUGCGGCCCUCAAAUGCGUCCUUAAUUUCCCUGAAUUUUAAGGAUGGGUCGGUGUAGCCUUCAUGGCCCAACAUACCCCAGAUUUCAUAGCGCGGCGGUGGUGUGGAUAAUUUUGCCGAAAAAACGGCGGAAGCCGAGCGGCCGAAGAGUAAACUUUCAGAAAUCAACACAGCCCUGCCCUCCAGCACUAUCAGCAGCAGGAGCAGCAGCAACCCCUCAACAGCAACAUUUUACCCAUCAGUGUCUCCUGAGUCUGACCCAGGUUAGGGGUUCAUGUCAGAGCUGGAGGAUGAGACCAACAUGGAGCUGGAGCUGGAGCAGAGCACGCCACACUCACCAAAUCUCCCUCCUUCACCUCCAGUGUGGAUGGAAUCAGAGUCGGUGAAGGAGGAUCUUGUGGUGGGAAGAAAUAUUUUCAUCAGUCAGUAAAGAAAUAAG